This 491-nucleotide ribosomal RNA is filed under the name uncultured bacterium. RNAcentral describes it as "partial 16S ribosomal RNA". It matches the Rfam family "Bacterial small subunit ribosomal RNA", at positions 29 to 507 of the family's 1533-position model. The record is from RNAcentral.
AGUGAACGCUGGCGGUAGGCCUAACACAUGCAAGUCGAACGGCAGCACAGUAAGAGCUUGCUCUUACGGGUGGCGAGUGGCGACGGGUGAGGAAUACAUCGGAAUCUACUUUUUCGUGGGGGAUAACGUAGGGAAACUUACGCUAAUACCGCAUACGACCUACGGGUGAAAGCAGGGGAUCUUCGGACCUUGCGCGAUUGAAUGAGCCGAUGUCGGAUUAGCUAGUUGGCGGGGUAAAGGCCCACCAAGGCGACGAUCCGUAGCUGGUCUGAGAGGAUGAUCAGCCACACUGGAACUGAGACACGGUCCAGACUCCUACGGGAGGCAGCAGUGGGGAAUAUUGGACAAUGGGCGCAGGCCUGAUCCAGCCAUACCGCGUGGGUGAAGAAGGCCUUCGGGUUGUAAAGCCCUUUUGUUGGGAAAGAAAAGCAGCAGGUUAAUACCCCGCUGUUCUGACGGUACCCAAAGAAUAAGCACCGGCUAACUUCGUG